UACAUAUAAAAGGCCACAAUUGCGAAAAACCCCCAGCAGUUCAAACUGCUCAAAAACUGCUACUGCGUACCCUUACACGGGCCCACGUACCGGUACACAUCCCACGAAAAUGCCAAACCCGACCCUCGGGUUUGCCUCAAAACUGCCUGUGUACCGGAACACAAUCCCGUACCGGUACAACCAUCAACCCUGUACCGGUAUAGCCAUCAACCCUGUACCGGUACACAAUCCAAUGAGGGCUACCCGAGAGCUAACCAAAAAUCCGAUUUUUUCGGAUUUUGGUGCUAGGCUUCAGACCUCAAUUCUCGGGGUUCGAACCAUAGGUCGGAACAUUGUCUACGACCCACCAGAAAGUCUGGAAAAACUCAGAACACAU
RNAcentral lists this long non-coding RNA (376 nucleotides) under Ananas comosus (pineapple). RNAcentral describes it as "long non-coding RNA (ACOM_LNC035152)". Lineage: Eukaryota; Viridiplantae; Streptophyta; Magnoliopsida; Poales; Bromeliaceae. The record is from RNAcentral.